RNAcentral lists this ribosomal RNA (429 nucleotides) under Gemmatimonadota bacterium. RNAcentral's name for it is "Gemmatimonadetes bacterium partial 16S ribosomal RNA". It matches the Rfam family "Bacterial small subunit ribosomal RNA", at positions 355 to 776 of the family's 1533-position model. The record is from RNAcentral. Lineage: Bacteria; Pseudomonadati; Gemmatimonadota.
UAGGGAAUCUUCGGCAAUGGACGAAAGUCUGACCGAGCAACGCCGCGUGAGUGAAGAAGGUUUUCGGAUCGUAAAACUCUGUUGUUAGAGAAGAACAAGGACGUUAGUAACUGAACGUCCCCUGACGGUAUCUAACCAGAAAGCCACGGCUAACUACGUGCCAGCAGCCGCGGUAAUACGUAGGUGGCAAGCGUUGUCCGGAUUUAUUGGGCGCAAAGCGAGCGCAGGCGGUUUCUUAAGUCUGAUGUGAAAGCCCCCGGCUCAACCGGGGAGGGUCAUUGGAAACUGGGAGACUUGAGUGCAGAAGAGGAGAGUGGAAUUCCAUGUGUAGCGGUGAAAUGCGUAGAUAUAUGGAGGAACACCAGUGGCGAAGGCGGCUCUCUGAUCUGUAACUGACGCUGAGGCUCGAAAGCGUGGGGAGCAAACAGG